AUUACAGACAUGAGCGACUGUGCCUGACCAAAGGUCAACAUUAAACAACAAACCUUGGCCAGGCGCAGUGGCUCACGCCUGUAAU
This is a microRNA precursor of Nomascus leucogenys (northern white-cheeked gibbon), 85 nucleotides long. The record is from Ensembl. Lineage: Eukaryota; Metazoa; Chordata; Mammalia; Primates; Hylobatidae.